Molecule: ribosomal RNA, 275 nt
Filed under: uncultured Thermovirga sp.
Lineage: Bacteria; Thermotogati; Synergistota; Synergistia; Synergistales; Thermovirgaceae
Description: partial 16S ribosomal RNA
Rfam family: Bacterial small subunit ribosomal RNA
Source: RNAcentral
UUCAGUUGCCAUCGGUAAGGCCGGGCACUCUGGAUGGACUGCCGGCGACAAGCCGGAGGAAGGUGGGGACGGACGUCAAGUCAUCAUGGCCCUUAUGUCCAGGGCGACACACGUGCUACAAUGGCCGGCACAACGGGAAGCGAAGGGGCGACCCUGAGCGGAUCCCACAAAAGCCGGUCCCAGUUCGGAUUGCAGUCUGCAACUCGACUGCAUGAAGUUGGAAUCGCUAGUAAUCGUGGAUCAGCCAAGCCGCGGUGAAUACGUUCCCGGGCCUU